UAGUGUUUGGAUAGUAGAAACAACGGCCAAAGCAUCAUUCUUAUUUUUCAUGACAACCAAAGUAAAGAAUAGCCCGUUGAGAAAAUCCAUUUCCUUUUGACGUGUAAAAUUAUGAUCACUAAGGCUCUUAUUUGAAAUGAAAUUGUACUUUUGAAAGGUUCAAAUGGGAGAACAAUUGAUAAAAUCUGUAUAGACAUAGAAACGAAAAGCCUAAAGUAUCAUUCCAAAUUUUCAAAACAAAUAAGAA
RNAcentral lists this long non-coding RNA (247 nucleotides) under Coffea arabica (coffee). Its description in RNAcentral is "long non-coding RNA (CARA_LNC006908)". The record is from RNAcentral. Lineage: Eukaryota; Viridiplantae; Streptophyta; Magnoliopsida; Gentianales; Rubiaceae.